UACGUAGGGUGCGAGCGUUAAUCGGAAUUACUGGGCGUAAAGAGUGCGUAGGCGGAUAUAUAAGUUAGAUGUGAAAUCCCCGGGCUUAACCUGGGAACGGCAUUUAAGACUGUAGGUCUAGAGAUUGUAAGAGGGGGGUAGAAUUCCAAGUGUAGCAGUGAAAUGCGUAGAGAUUUGGAGGAAUACCGAUGGCGAAGGCAGCCCCCUGGGAUAAAUCUGACGCUGAGGCACGAGAGCGUGGGUAGCAAACAGGAUUAGAACCGUACCGUCGUG
Molecule: ribosomal RNA, 273 nt
Filed under: uncultured bacterium
Lineage: Bacteria
Description: partial 16S ribosomal RNA
Rfam family: Bacterial small subunit ribosomal RNA
Source: RNAcentral